Molecule: ribosomal RNA, 461 nt
Filed under: Monolepta sp. JJG310
Lineage: Eukaryota; Metazoa; Arthropoda; Insecta; Coleoptera; Chrysomelidae
Description: eukaryotic LSU rRNA
Source: RNAcentral
GAACGCGUGCACUUUUCCUCUAGUAGGACGUCGCGAUCCGUUGGGUGUCUGUCUAGGGCUUGAGGUGGAGCCCACGUGAUUUCGAUUGCGUGGACCCUUGAUGUUCCGACAGACUCGCUCGACGGUAUGCAAAUGGCGUGGGGCCGCUACUUAAGUUAGCGUUCGGCCCGUAGCAAGCGCGUUCUGUGUUGACGGCCAUCGGACCUGGUGCCGAUUCUGUCCCGGAACGACUGUUGGUUGCGGUGUUCUCGAACAGACCUCAUUUUUGAAACGCCGAUCAGCGACGCUAUAGAUUUGGGUACUUUCAGGACCCGUCUUGAAACACGGACCAAGGAGUCUAGCAUGUGCGCGAGUCAUUGGGACACGACUAAACCUAAAGGCGUAAUGAAAGUAAAGGUUUACCUUGCGUAGACCGAGGGAGGAUGAGCGGUUUGCCCUUAAAAGUGGCCGCUUCGCACUCC